GACGAACGCUGGCGGCGUGCCUAAUACAUGCAAGUUGAGCGAUGAAGAUUGGUGCCUGCACCAAUUUGAAGAGCAGCGAACGGGUGAGUAACGCGUGGGGAAUCUGCCUUUGAGCGGGGGACAACAUUUGGAAACGAAUGCUAAUACCGCAUAACAACUUUAAACAUAAGUUUUAAGUUUGAAAGAUGCAAUUGCAUCACUCAAAGAUGAUCCCGCGUUGUAUUAGCUAGUUGGUGAGGUAAAGGCUCACCAAGGCGAUGAUACAUAGCCGACCUGAGAGGGUGAUCGGCCACAUUGGGACUGAGACACGGCCCAAACUCCUACGGGAGGCAGCAGUAGGGAAUCUUCGGCAAUGGACGAAAGUCUGACCGAGCAACGCCGCGUGAGUGAAGAAGGUUUUCGGAUCGUAAAACUCUGUUGGUAGAGAAGAACGUUGGUGAGAGUGGAAAGCUCAUCAAGUGACGGUAACUACCCAGAAAGGGACGGCUAACUACGUG
This 497-nucleotide ribosomal RNA is filed under the name uncultured bacterium. RNAcentral's name for it is "partial 16S ribosomal RNA". It matches the Rfam family "Bacterial small subunit ribosomal RNA", at positions 28 to 507 of the family's 1533-position model. The record is from RNAcentral.